Molecule: ribosomal RNA, 221 nt
Filed under: uncultured bacterium
Lineage: Bacteria
Description: partial 16S ribosomal RNA
Rfam family: Bacterial small subunit ribosomal RNA
Source: RNAcentral
CGCACGGGUGAGUAACACGUGACUAACCUACCCUCGAGUGGGGAAUAACCUAGAGAAAUCUGGGCUAAUACCGCACAACACUUACGAGUCAAAGCAGCAAUGCGCUUGAGGAGGGGGUCGCGGCAGAUUAGCUAGUUGGCGGGGUAAUGGCCCACCAAGGCAAUGAUCUGUAUCCGGCCUGAGAGGGCGCACGGACACACUGGAACUGAAACACGGUCCAG